This 437-nucleotide long non-coding RNA is filed under the name Gossypium raimondii (Peruvian cotton). RNAcentral's name for it is "long non-coding RNA (GRAI_LNC003119)". Lineage: Eukaryota; Viridiplantae; Streptophyta; Magnoliopsida; Malvales; Malvaceae. The record is from RNAcentral.
UUGAAUUAACACGUGGGAGAAAUAUAUAUUCAGUAUCUAUGCCUAAAAGAAAACCAACGAUUACUUAAAAAAGAAUUCAAGUGCAACAACAGAAAAAUAUCCAAUUUUGAACACAUGAACAAAACCAACAGACAUUUCACGAAAUAGAAAGGAAUGACGACAAAACUUACUCAAUUACUUUCCAAUCGAAGCGGCACCCUCAAUCACACACAGUUACAACUUAUCAAAGAAAAAUGGAAGAAAAAGAAAAAUAGAAACAGAGAACAAUAAAAAGAAUAAGUAAGAAGGAAAGAAGAAGAAAAAUAAAAGGGAACGUAACUAGCGUUUUCUAAAACUAAUAACCAAAAUUCUGAUAGUUAGUAAAAUAUUUCUUCUAGCACGUUCUGUAACUCGAACAUAGGACUAGAUAGAAUAUAGAAGCUUAACUGUCAAACCAG